UACACUCCUGCGGGAGGCAGCAGUGGGGAAUUUUGGACAAUGGGCGAAAGCCUGAUCCAGCAAUGCCGCGUGCAGGAUGAAGGCCUUCGGGUUGUAAACUGCUUUUGUACGGAACGAAAAAGCUCCUUCUAAUACAGGGGGCCCAUGACGGUACCGUAAGAAUAAGCACCGGCUAACUACGUGCCAGCAGCCGCGGUAAUACGUAGGGUGCGAGCGUUAAUCGGAAUUACUGGGCGUAAAGCGUGCGCAGGCGGUUAUGUAAGACAGAUGUGAAAUCCCCGGGCUCAACCUGGGAACUGCAUUUGUGACUGCAUGGCUAGAGUACGGUAGAGGGGGAUGGAAUUCCGCGUGUAGCAGUGAAAUGCGUAGAUAUGCGGAGGAACACCGAUGGCGAAGGCAAUCCCCUGGACCUGUACUGACGCUUAUGCACGAAAGCGUGGGGAGCAAACAGGAUUAGAUACCCUAGUAGUCCCAU
RNAcentral lists this ribosomal RNA (475 nucleotides) under uncultured organism. Its description in RNAcentral is "partial 16S ribosomal RNA". It matches the Rfam family "Bacterial small subunit ribosomal RNA", at positions 332 to 798 of the family's 1533-position model. The record is from RNAcentral.